Long non-coding RNA from Cebus imitator (Panamanian white-faced capuchin), 586 nucleotides. RefSeq lists it as uncharacterized. The transcript has 2 exons. NCBI's taxonomy places the organism in Eukaryota, Metazoa, Chordata, Mammalia, Primates, Cebidae. The record is from RefSeq and is a predicted model, not a curated record.
GGCUUUUAAAACCCUGAAACUGGGGAAGAUAACCUAGGGAGUAAGAGUCGAACCAAAGAAGAGAUCUAAAGUCUGGGUUUUGAGAGAUGAGAAAGAAUGAGCAGAAAAAAAUUAGACUGAUAAUUGAAAUGAAAGAAAAACUAAGAGAGGUAGCAAAGAGAAGAAAGAGCUUCAAGAAGAGAUGGAUCAGCUCUUUUAAUAUUGAUAGACCUAAUGUGAUGAGGAAUCAUCAUGAACUUCUGGAUUUGGUAUGAUGGAGAUAGGCAAGGACUGUGGCAAGACCCUUUCAAUGCAGGAGAAACCAAACUACUGAUUAGUGACCCUCCUUUUGUCUCAGCCUCAGAAGAACAAGAAGGAGGAGAUAUGAAGGCUCCAGAGGAAGAAUGACAAAACAGUCCUUGCUACUUUUCCAUCUGCAGCCUUGACCUCCUUACAAAAGAGAAGGCAUUCCAUGUCACGAGAAAUGCAGCUGCAAGACUCAGGGAAUGCAGAGAAUAGAUCACAAAUUCUGUUGCCUUUUACUGGAGUCCUGUUCUCUUCUAUGAUUUUAAUAAAAGUACCAAGGAACAAAUGGUGAAGAAAUAUG